Molecule: ribosomal RNA, 838 nt
Filed under: uncultured bacterium
Lineage: Bacteria
Description: bacterial SSU rRNA
Rfam family: Bacterial small subunit ribosomal RNA
Source: RNAcentral
UGCAGUCGAGCGGACAGAUGGGAGCUUGCUCCCUGAUGUUAGCGGCGGACGGGUGAGUAACACGUGGGUCACCUGCCUGUAAGACUGGGAUAACUCCGGGAAACCGGGGCUAAUACCGGAUGGUUGUUUGAACCGCAUGGUUCAGACAUAAAAGGUGGCUUCGGCUACCACUUACAGAUGGACCCGCGGCGCAUUAGCUAGUUGGUGAGGUAACGGCUCACCAAGGCGACGAUGCGUAGCCGACCUGAGAGGGUGAUCGGCCACACUGGGACUGAGACACGGCCCAGACUCCUACGGGAGGCAGCAGUAGGGAAUCUUCCGCAAUGGACGAAAGUCUGACGGAGCAACGCCGCGUGAGUGAUGAAGGUUUUCGGAUCGUAAAGCUCUGUUGUUAGGGAAGAACAAGUGCCGUUCAAAUAGGGCGGCACCUUGACGGUACCUAACCAGAAAGCCACGGCUAACUACGUGCCAGCAGCCGCGGUAAUACGUAGGUGGCAAGCGUUGUCCGGAAUUAUUGGGCGUAAAGGGCUCGCAGGCGGUUUCUUAAGUCUGAUGUGAAAGCCCCCGGCUCAACCGGGGAGGGUCAUUGGAAACUGGGGAACUUGAGUGCAGAAGAGGAGAGUGGAAUUCCACGUGUAGCGGUGAAAUGCGUAGAGAUGUGGAGGAACACCAGUGGCGAAGGCGACUCUCUGGUCUGUAACUGACGCUGAGGAGCGAAAGCGUGGGGAGCGAACAGGAUUAGAUACCCUGGUAGUCCACGCCGUAAACGAUGAGUGCUAAGUGUUAGGGGGUUUCCGCCCCUUAGUGCUGCAGCUAACGCAUUAAGCACUCCGCCUGC